Long non-coding RNA from Cylas formicarius (sweet potato weevil), 891 nucleotides. RefSeq lists it as uncharacterized. The record is from RefSeq and is a predicted model, not a curated record. NCBI's taxonomy places the organism in Eukaryota, Metazoa, Arthropoda, Insecta, Coleoptera, Brentidae. The transcript has 4 exons.
GUUAACUUUUAGAAAGUAUUCUCGCACCGUAUAAAUACAUCUCAUUUUUCUCUGUUUUGUCAGUAGUUGUUUUUGGUAUUAUUCGUGCAACGUGGAAGCUAACUUAGUGGUUUGGUGUUCGUACAAAAAAGCAGUCCUAAAGAUCAUCUUAGUACUCUCAACCCGUAACCGCAAAUAGAAUAGCAGCAAUCUUAAGCAUGGACUUAAGUCAACUGAAUCAAACCUGUCUUGCAGAAGGUGAUUUUGAGCAGCCGAUUGUCAAACUGCAUGAAUUGCCGAUAGGCGUUCCGUUUAAAAUUACUAGAGCCAAAAUUGUUAAUACAAAAUUUGGCAAUUCCGUGUUGCUGCAAUUAGAAAAUUCCGUAGUAUUUCUUCCUACUCGCGUGACAGAAGCUUUCCGUCCGAGACUAGAACACUUUGCGUCGGGGCAGUACAAACUGGUCUACGAGGGAUCCAAAGAUAUUGGAAAGCCCAACUCUUUAAAGAAAUUCAAAAUAAUUCAAAAUUAAUCAACAUAUUAUACAGGAUUAUGGUCAAACAACUUACAUUAGAAAGCCUUUGUAUUAUAACAAUUUGCGAAAAUAUUAGGUGUAGUGCUGAUUUUUUGCUUGAGUCACCUUUGCCUUGGAAACUAACGAUACUAAUAUUUAAAUAUUAUUCGAAAUAUAGAUGGAAGUACCUUAAACAAUUAGCGCUCCAGUCUGAUGGUAAUUCUUUAUUAAAUUUAGAAUUCAUUCUGUUGAAUAAGACAUUUGGAUCGUCUUACAGAAAUAGCAUUUUGGCAACUCCAACCAUUGAUUUUGACGGAGAAUCCGCUUACUGUUUAUGGGUCAGUUAUUACAGGAUAAAAUAUUCGGAAAUUUUAGUUUGUAAAUCUUGUCACUUUAUAUU